UGGGCUCGCCGCGACUGGCGCGGAUGGAUCCGACCAUCGGGAAGCGGCGAACCGGCCUCGGUCGACUCUGGGGCCUGGACCGGCCUCGACCGCCUGGGGGCCUCGG
This 106-nucleotide non-coding RNA is filed under the name Actinopolymorpha singaporensis. RNAcentral describes it as "ZTP sequence". It matches the Rfam family "ZMP/ZTP riboswitch aptamer (pfl RNA motif)". Rfam says of the family: Previously known as pfl RNA. ZMP is also known as AICAR. Lineage: Bacteria; Bacillati; Actinomycetota; Actinomycetes; Propionibacteriales; Actinopolymorphaceae. The record is from Rfam by way of RNAcentral.